This 838-nucleotide small RNA is filed under the name Pan troglodytes (chimpanzee). RNAcentral describes it as "processed transcript". Lineage: Eukaryota; Metazoa; Chordata; Mammalia; Primates; Hominidae. The record is from RNAcentral.
AGAUGCUAUUAAGUGAUUAUUAAAAUUUUAUUGGGUAUGUUGAUGGUAUUGCGGUUCUGUGGGGGACAUCUUUGGUUUUUGAAGGUGCACACUCAAGGGUUAAGGGGUAAAAUGUUACGAUGUUUGUAAUUUAAAAUACUUCAGCAAAAAAAAAAAAAAAAUGCAAGGAUGGCAAUGUGAUCACUGGUAUAUCUAGAUGGUGGUAUACAUAAAGUGAUUGUACUAUUCCCUCCACUUUUCUGAAUACGAGAACAUUUUCAAAAUAAAAACUCAAGUCAGUGAAUGAAUGAGUGAAUGAAUGAAGCUGAUUGUGCCCAGGGGGUCUGUGUGGGGCUCUCCGUGAAGUGCAGGGGUGACUGGUCCUCUCUCUCUGCGCCUCGCAGGAUUUCUCUGGAAGAUCUGAGCCCGAGCGUCGUGCUGCACAUGACCGAGAAGCUGGGUUACAAGAACAGCGACGUGAUCAACACUGUGCUCUCCAACCGCGCCUGCCACAUCCUGGCCAUCUACUUCCUCUUAAACAAGAAACUGGAGCGCUAUUUGUCAGGGAAAUCUGACAUCCAGGACAGCCUCUGCUACAAGACGCGGCUCUACCAGAUAGAAAAGUACAGGGCCCCCAAGGAGUCCUAUGAGGCCUCUCUGGACACCUGGACAAGAGAUCUUGAAUUCCAUGCCGUGCAGGAUAAAAAGCCCAAAGAACAAGAAAAAAGAGGGGAUUUUCUUCAUCGACCAUUCUCCAAGAAGUUGGACAAGAACCUGCCCUCGCACAAACAGCCCUCAGGCUCGCUCAUGACACAGAUUCAGAACACCAAAGCCCUCCUGAAGGACCGGAAGGCCUCCA